AUACUUACCUGGCAGGGGAGAUACCAUGAUCACGAAGGUGGUUUUCCCAGGGCGAGGCUCACCCAUUGCACUCCGGAUGUGCUGACCCCUGCGAUUUCCCCAAAUGUGGGAAACUCGACUGCAUAAUUUGUGGUAGUGGGGGACUGCGUUCGCGCUUUCCCCUG
This 164-nucleotide small nuclear RNA is filed under the name Camelus dromedarius (Arabian camel). RNAcentral's name for it is "U1 spliceosomal RNA (ENSCDRG00005003458.1)". It matches the Rfam family "U1 spliceosomal RNA". Rfam says of the family: U1 is a small nuclear RNA (snRNA) component of the spliceosome (involved in pre-mRNA splicing). Its 5' end forms complementary base pairs with the 5' splice junction, thus defining the 5' donor site of an intron. Lineage: Eukaryota; Metazoa; Chordata; Mammalia; Artiodactyla; Camelidae. The record is from Rfam by way of RNAcentral.